Molecule: ribosomal RNA, 777 nt
Filed under: uncultured Neocallimastigales
Lineage: Eukaryota; Fungi; Neocallimastigomycota; Neocallimastigomycetes; Neocallimastigales
Description: partial large subunit ribosomal RNA
Rfam family: Eukaryotic large subunit ribosomal RNA
Source: RNAcentral
AGAGAGAGACAUGCGCGCAUAUCAAUAAGCGGAGGAAAAGAAACUAACAAGGAUUCCCUUAGUAACGGCGAGUGAAGCGGGAAGAGCUCAAAUUUGAAAUCUUCAAGGUUUUACCUUGACGAAUUGUAGUUUAAAGAAGUGUUUUCUGCUGAAGUUUUGGUAAAAGUUCUUUGGAAUAGGACAUCAUAGAGGGUGAGAAUCCCGUAUUUGACCAUUAUUUUCAGCUUUGUGAUACACUUUCAAAGAGUCGGAUUGUUUGGGAAUGCAGUCCAAAAUGGGUGGUAAAUUUCAUCUAAAGCUAAAUAUUGGCGAGAGACCGAUAGCGAACGAGUACCGUGAGGGAAAGAUGAAAAGGAACUUUGAAAAGAGAGUUAAACAGUACGUGAAAUUGUCAAAAGGGAAGCGUUUGACACCAGUGUUGUUUUCUCGAAAAUCAAUUAAAAAUGGCUCGAUUUUGUAUUGCUUGAGACCUUAAAAGCUCACUGUACAUUUUUCGUGUCUUUUUUAAUGCACUUUUCGUUUAACAAGUCAACAUCAGUUUCUUUUGUUGUAAAAGGGUCAUUGGAAGGUGGCUUUCUUUUCGGAGAAAGUGUUUAUAGCCUUUGGCCUCUGCAAUCGGAGAGACUGAGGUCUGCAGCGUAGACUCUUCGGGGUUAGAUACAUUUGUGCUAAGUUAUAGCUUUUUAUAGACAACUUGUUGACUAUAAUUAGUCUUGUAGCUUACUCGCUUAUGCUAUUUUACCUACUGCUUAGGAUGUUGAAGAUGUAGCACAUCAU